This 273-nucleotide ribosomal RNA is filed under the name uncultured bacterium. Its description in RNAcentral is "partial 16S ribosomal RNA". It matches the Rfam family "Bacterial small subunit ribosomal RNA", at positions 523 to 796 of the family's 1533-position model. The record is from RNAcentral.
AUACGAACCGUCCAAACGUUAUUCGGAAUUAUUGGGCUUAAGGGUGCGUAGGCGGCGCUAUAAGUCAGGUGUGAAAUCCCACGGCUCAACCGUGGAACUGCGCCCGAUACUGUAGUGCUCGAGGGAGACAGAGGUAAGCGGAACUGAUGGUGGAGCGGUGAAAUGCGUUGAUAUCAUCAGGAACACCAGUGGCGAAAGCGGCUUACUGGGUCUCUUCUGACGCUGAGGCACGAAAGCUAGGGUAGCGAACGGGAUUAGAAACCCCGGUAGUCC